UGCAUGGUGGCACAAUGGCUAGCACUGCUGCCUUGUAACAAGGAGGUUCUGGGUUCAAGCCCUAGUCAACUAG
Gymnothorax javanicus (giant moray) is the source of this 73-nucleotide non-coding RNA. NCBI's taxonomy places the organism in Eukaryota, Metazoa, Chordata, Actinopteri, Anguilliformes, Muraenidae. The record is from the annotation of a GenBank genome assembly.